RNAcentral lists this ribosomal RNA (249 nucleotides) under Chanos chanos (milkfish). RNAcentral's name for it is "partial small subunit ribosomal RNA". Lineage: Eukaryota; Metazoa; Chordata; Actinopteri; Gonorynchiformes; Chanidae. The record is from RNAcentral.
AGAGGCUCUAGUUGACGAACUACGGCGUAAAGCGUGGUCACGGAGAGCAAUCAAUACUAAAGCCAAACGCCUCCCAGGCUGUCAUACGCAUCCGGAGGUACGAAGCCCAAUAACGAAAGUAGCUUUAUUACCGCCAACCUGACCCCACGACAACUGAGAAACAAACUGGGAUUAGAUACCCCACUAUGCUCAGUCGUAAACUUAGGUAUUCCUUUACCACCAAUACCCGCCUGGGAACUACGAGCGCUA